RNAcentral lists this microRNA precursor (74 nucleotides) under Myotis brandtii (Brandt's bat). RNAcentral describes it as "mir-9193 microRNA precursor family". It matches the Rfam family "mir-9193 microRNA precursor family". Lineage: Eukaryota; Metazoa; Chordata; Mammalia; Chiroptera; Vespertilionidae. The record is from Rfam by way of RNAcentral.
CAGGGGGGUGGGGGGUCCCUCAGCCUGGAUUGCAAGAGUGUGCAGGCCAGGCCAAGAGACCCCACCAGUGCAUG